RNAcentral lists this long non-coding RNA (1098 nucleotides) under Mustela putorius furo (domestic ferret). Its description in RNAcentral is "lncRNA (ENSMPUG00000028855.1)". Lineage: Eukaryota; Metazoa; Chordata; Mammalia; Carnivora; Mustelidae. The record is from RNAcentral.
CAGAGCGUCUUUCGCUGCUCACCAACGGCCAGCAGAGGGCGUCCGACUCGCGCCAGGACCAACCGGCACCUCCGUGGGGUCAUGGGUCCGGGCGAUGCGGCGACACUUCCCCGGCGGGAAGCCAGGCUUGGUUUGCCGCAGGUCCGGUUGCGCGUGGGGCCGCCGCUCAGGUUGCGAGACCCGCCGGGGCUGAGCAAACAAUGAGUUAAGGGCUGUCUUUCCCUGGUUCCCCUUUCUGCCAUGGGGGAGCCCCGUUGGACUGACGUCUCCCCAGACUCUUCUCUGAAAUGCUGAGCCCAAGGCCAUGGGCACAGGAGGAUCACGGAGGACUCUCCCACCCUGGAGGACAUCCGUUUGCACCAGGGACAGGAUUCUGCACGAUGUCAUCGAGACCGAGACCGUGUAAGGAAGACAAAGACACUCACUGGAGAGGGCUAGCCCAGCCCAAAACACCCCCAUGGGUGUGGUCUUCAUGCUCAAACAGAGGACCACGUACACGUAGAUGGAGCCCUGUACGCAGAAACAUCCUUGUCAUUCACCAGCAGGUAAAGCUGGUCAGCAUCUUGGUCAGUUGCCAGGUGCCAUUUGGAGGAAACCAAAAAGGGAACCAGAACUGGGCUCUGAAGUACCAGACCUCCAGGAAACUUCCUACGUACAAGCAGCUGAGAAGCACACAGUCCAUUGGACGCUGGGCUGCUACAGUCACCAAAAUGUUCUUCACAUACCAUUUGAUCACCAACUAUAGCAUGGGGAGACCUGCUGUGCAUCUGUCUUUGUGUCUGCACCAUCUGCUGUAGUACAAGGCAGGUAAUAAGUCCCCUUGAUCUGCAACAGCUCCUCAACCUUGGGCAAUUAAUGCCCCUGUGACUGGGAUAUGGGGAGUACACCCAUCCUUCCUCUGAUUAAGGCAGGUAACAAUCAGUGCUGGGCACUGUGCUAAGCUCUGGGGUUAUAAAGGUACAGGAAACAUACUUUUUAUCUCCUCAGAUCUCAAGGCCUGGAGGGAAAUACAGAAAUUUUAAGUAUACAGUUUUAAUGACAUUGGGUACAGAGGAAGGAUGCCGAAGUUCCACAUACUUGGGCCUCGGAACAACAACG